GGCAGCCAGUCUCUCUCCGAGUGUUGUCGGGGCAGUGUCGAUUUUUUGCGUUGAUGAUCACUCAUUAGUGGUCAAGAUGAAGCAAGACUGCCGAUACCUUGCCCCGAGUCGCUUCCCAGCAGAUGAGGAGGUAAGAAAGCACGUGUUGCGAUGAGGAGACGUGGCUGUCCUUCCUCGCCCUCUUUCGCGUCCCCAAAGUCAACCUCAUCCCUCUGCUCGGGAAGGCCUCACGUCAACAUGCAUCUUUGACUCCAUUAGGAAACUCCUCAAGCUAAUUUGCACGUGGGAUAGCAGAGCCCUUCCUCAUUAGCAAGGAUACGAACAGAAAAACACCUUCAUUACGCCACUUAGAGCAAGUAUUUAGUGAACAGACGCACGGAUGGAAUUGUGGAGUCGACUUCAAUGAAACUGUACUGCUAAUCAAGAGUAACAUCAACAUAAUGUUAUAUUUAUACGAUAGUCCUUUCAAAUUUCUAAGAACUGAUGUUAACUGGUGUAUAUGUUCAUGACGAAGUGUUUGUCUUUGUGUUUCCGUCGCACCUUGCAAAUAUUUGAAAAGGAGUACGUAUGUGAAGAAACUGAUCAUUGCAGGAAGCUCAAAAUAUUGCAUUAACUAGUAAUCUGUGACUAAAUAAUGCACAGACGUUGCUAUUGAUUUGCUUUAUGAUGUUUAAAAAUUAAGUUGGUUAUUGAUUUUCUUUAAAUAUCAAAUUAAACUCUGUUGCUCUCUUGAAAGAUUCCCGUGGCACCGCAGUUUCGUCACUUCAGGAGGAACUGAAGUACAAGUACAUUAACUGGAACCUCUUUCUGGUACUGAUUUAUAGGCAUCUGUUUUACUUGUAUCUUGCAGAAUCAUAAAUUAUAUCUGUACUAAUUUGCC
This 880-nucleotide unclassified non-coding RNA is filed under the name Portunus trituberculatus (swimming crab). RNAcentral's name for it is "uncharacterized LOC123505223, transcript variant X3". Lineage: Eukaryota; Metazoa; Arthropoda; Malacostraca; Decapoda; Portunidae. The record is from RNAcentral.